GCCCUCUCAGGGUUGCACUUGGAGAGUUUUCAGAACUCUGCCAGUCACAGCUAUAGGAGGAAGAGUUAAGCAGAGGCAUAACCAUUCUAUUCCUAGCUUGGGCAGUGGCUAGUGAGUAGAUGGCAAUCUGCUAUAAGU
Molecule: small nucleolar RNA, 138 nt
Organism: Ornithorhynchus anatinus (platypus)
Lineage: Eukaryota; Metazoa; Chordata; Mammalia; Monotremata; Ornithorhynchidae
Source: RefSeq, a predicted model, not a curated record